GGCGGCGCUGCCAACAUCGUCUAAUUCUGAAGGAAACAGCAAAAAGUGAUGAAACAGUGCCUCCUAAACAAGUAUUUUAUUAGCGGCAGCAAAUCAAAUGAUGGCACAGACGGCAGGGAUGGAACGAGGUGUUCAUGGAUUCCGAACUGUUGCCGAGCGGGACUCACCGGCAGCGCAGGCGUCCAGACAGCAUGUCGAACGAGCGCAGGCAGAACUCCUUGUUGUCGCGGUAGGCGAAAGUGUGCCCGUCAUCCAGGUACACUUCACCUUUGGCGCCGCCCUAUCGGAGAUAGGACCAAUAGCACUUCAUGUCAUUCCAAGGUUUCCCGGAAGUACGUCUUUCCACCCCUCUUCCCACUCCUCUUCCCACCUCAGAGUUCAGCGCCACCGUGAUGGACAGCGGCAUCUUCUGGAGGUCGGCGGUACACGUCCCGCCAACGGCGGCCCUGCAGACGACUGAGCCUCCUCGCUGGUACACUGGAACCUGACAGAGGAAAACCAUCGGAGUACAUAUGUCCCUCGAGGUAUGAGCUACACCAGGGGUGCUCAUUAAGUCGAUCGCGAGCUACCGGUCGAUCGCGGAGGUGGUACUGGUCGAUCGCUGGUCGAUCGCGGCGUGACAUUAAAAAAAUAUCAUCCCAGCAUCAAUGCCGUCACUUGAUUGAUAUACAGGGCAGCCAUUCAGAUGACAACUGAAUGUUGCCCUUCGGGCGACCAAUCAAAUCAAACAACGUCUCUAAGUGCAGCAGAACUUACGAUGUCAGCCUAUCAUCCAUUCCCGUUACUUGAUUGACAUACAGGACAACCAGUCAGAUGACAACUGAAUUUUGACCUUUAGGUCACCGCUCAUGCGUAAACAACGAUGCAAAGUGCUAAGCUAGUCGGCGAAUUGCGAGAUUUUAAAGCCCUCGCUAAAGUUUAUGGUCACUAAAAUGAGUGAAGGAGCUGGACCAAGUAAAAAGGCAAAAACUGGACCAAGUAAAAAGGCAAAAAACAUAUCACUUCCAUACGGAUAUGGAAUAUUGUACGGAUAUUAUGAUACGGAUAUUAUCCAUGACUGAUAAACAUUUGGAAGUGUGCUUGAGGCUGGCUAUCAGCAGCUACUGUCCGGACUAUGCAUCCCUGGCUGGUUCAAUUCAGUGCAAGUCAUCAAAGUAAACUCAGGUAAUUACAAAAAAUGUUAAUAGUUAAUUAUGUGUGUUUUGCAAUAUUGGCUCAUUUGGUUAUGUAAGGUACAUCAACAUACAUUGUACGUACAAAUAAUCCUCAAUACAUUUGAAAAUAAAUAGAUGUUUUGCAUUUUUGUAGUGGGUAGAUCAUUUUGACUCGGUCAUUUUAAAAGUAGCUCGCAUGCUGAAAAAGUGUGAGCACCCCUGAGCUACACUAAUAUCCCACUUCAUGUUUUCCAGGGAAAAAACACUUAGUUCAACAUUUCCUAAUUUAAAGGCAAUCCGGGACAUCCCUACUUCCUGUUUGCGCUCUGCCGAGGGCCUCUCAGGUGUGCUUUUAUUAGUUUUACUAUGUUUAAACUUGGCCUUCGGGCACAUUGCCUUUACAGUUGAAUCAAGUUGGUCAACUUUGGAGUACUCACUAUGCUUUUUACGAGUGUUUCAUACUUCAAAACACAAAUAUAUAUUCCAAAUAGAACACUUACUGUGUCUAAAGUCACUGGAAAAGUCCGAGUCCCGCCUCCUUCAAGCGCCAAUGCAGAUUUAACGUCAUACCAAACCUAAAAAUACAAAAUCAACAUAUUUGCAUUUUGCCGACAAAGCCUCUUUGGGAAGAAUCAAUAUUUAGUUAUUAAUAUUUACCUGCUCUUCUCCGGGAAAGAGGACUAGAAUUUCCUGAACGCCGGAUUCCGUGACGGGACACGCCAUGAGUGCGUCUCCUGCGACAAAAGUCAAUGCACUAGUUAGAGUACCGUAGUCGUACCGGGCCUAAGUCUGCUAAAGCGAGAGCGUGUUGGUUCACCCAGCAUGUACUGGUGGUCCAGUCUGAAGGUGCUGCGCUCCUUCGGGAACUCCAUCCAUAAAGGUCUGGAGGGUUGGACACCAAAAGGGUCACUUUAGUUCCGGUUUCUACAUUUAUGUCACACACAUGCUACUUGUUGAGAGUACGGGUGGCCCGUGGGCUACGUACGGGUUUGAGCCCUCGGCUGCGAUGUAAGGCCCGUUUAGAAGAACAUAAUAAAAACGACAUUCAAACCUCGAGCAACCUUUCCAUGUCAACAAUAGUGGCGCUAACCAGGUUUGGGAUUUCCCAACAUCCUUGAGUGUGACAGUCCUGACUGUGUGUGACUUUUCCCACGCUUUGAGAGGUACUUGAAGAGGACCACUUUGGCGGUUUUAGUUCCCAGGAGGAGGAUGAGGACAACCAUGAAUAACAUUUCUGAAAACCUGAUGCGGCCCAGCCUCGCCCAGACCCUAGGUGCAGUGGCCCCCAGGUGGCGCUGCAAGCCUGCCGGGUCAGGGAACAAGUCCGAGUCCCAGGUGAAAGAUCGCUUCCCGUUCAUGUGCUCUAUGUCCAGCCACAUGACAUCGUAGGGGAUGUUGUGCUUGUCGAAUCCGGCGUCCACGGCCUUCAGGUCCUCCUCCGAGUCUUUGUCCCAGCGGGAGUGGUGGUAGCCGAGGGUGAAGAGAGGCGGGAGGACUUGGUAUCCUGGUGGGAGUCAUACCGUGAUGGUUAGAUAAUGGUCAUAGAGGGGUGGGGGGGUACGGUCUCACCUGUCAAC
Non-coding RNA from Doryrhamphus excisus (bluestripe pipefish), 2731 nucleotides. The record is from RefSeq and is a predicted model, not a curated record. Lineage: Eukaryota; Metazoa; Chordata; Actinopteri; Syngnathiformes; Syngnathidae.